Molecule: ribosomal RNA, 566 nt
Filed under: uncultured bacterium
Lineage: Bacteria
Description: bacterial SSU rRNA
Rfam family: Bacterial small subunit ribosomal RNA
Source: RNAcentral
GUGGCGCACGGGUGAGUACACGUGGAUGAUCUACCUCCUUGUGGGGAAUAACCCUGGGAAACCGGGGCUAAUACCGCAUACGUUCGAGAGAAGAAAGCCGAAAGGCGCAGGGAGAGGAGUCCGCGGUCGAUUAGCUAGUUGGUAGGGUAAUGGCCUACCAAGGCGACGAUCGAUAGCCGGCCUGAGAGGGCACACGGCCACACUGGCACUGAAAUACGGGCCAGACUCCUACGGGAGGCAGCAGUGGGGAAUCUUGCACAAUGGGGGAAACCCUGAUGCAGCGACGCCGCGUGAACGAUGAAGCCCUUCGGGGUGUAAAGUUCUUUCGACGGGGACGAUAAUGACGGUACCCGGAGAAGAAGCUGCGGCUAACUACGUGCCAGCAGCCGCGGUAAUACGUAGGCAGCAAGCGUUGUUCGGAAUUACUGGGCGUAAAGAGUGCGUAGGCGGUUAACUAAGUUUGGUGUGAAAUCUCCCGGCUUAACUGGGAGGGUGCGCCGAAAACUGGCUAGCUAGAGUGUGGGAGAGGAUAGUGGAAUUCCUGGUGUAGCGGUGAAAUGCGUAGA